AUUUAAUUAGUUUAAAUGUAAAAAUUUUAGUUUGUGGAGCUAAAGAUAAUGUUAUUAUUAAAUA
Molecule: transfer RNA, 64 nt
Filed under: Rhyacophila quadrifida
Lineage: Eukaryota; Metazoa; Arthropoda; Insecta; Trichoptera; Rhyacophilidae
Description: tRNA-His
Source: RNAcentral